RNA transcript from Sitodiplosis mosellana (orange wheat blossom midge), 4359 nucleotides. RefSeq lists it as uncharacterized. The transcript has 2 exons. The record is from RefSeq and is a predicted model, not a curated record. Lineage: Eukaryota; Metazoa; Arthropoda; Insecta; Diptera; Cecidomyiidae.
UCUCGGCCACAGUCAAAAGAAUAAACAAGCGGAAUAAAAAUUUAUCAUAAAUAGCAAGCUGAGCAGAAUAAAAGCAAAAAGUAAGAAAUUCAUCGAAACCAGUAUCAAAACUCGGUUCAAAAGCUGUGAUUCCUAAAAAUGUGUUUCACAAUCGACCAAAUUGAGCGGGCGUGUGGAUUAUUGAUGCUGACCGAGUUCAAUACAUUCGUUUACUGCUGCAAAAGUUGUCAGUGUGAAUUUGAGUCUGGAUCCAAUUUAGAAGUGCACAUUUUGUCGGAGCAUCAAGACGAUAAAGGAGCUAUCUUUGUGAACGGUGACGUUUGGGCGGAUAAUUGUAGCAUUGAGCCAACGCCGAUCGACUAUGUAGCAACAAAUGCAAAACUUGGGCAAUUUGGACUAGACGCUGAACAGUCAAUUGAACGGAAUGUGGUUGAAUCGUAUGUAGAUUAUGCCAAACCGCUUCCAAUUUUGCUGGUGAAUGAGAAUUUCGACGAUGACAUCAAUGGCAUUGAGACAAAUAUAGCCAAAGACGAACCGACACUAGAGGAACCACCGCGAAAAACAGUGAAUUCGGAAGAAAAUGUUUGGCAUGAUUCAUUGGGAAUUGGAACCAAAGAAGCAAACGAAUCAAUUCAUCACGAGCAAUCACGAGUAGAAGUGGCUUCGGAAUGGAAGAAUGUUUCGGUGGAAAAUGAAUUAAUCGAAAUUGUUGGCCACGGUUUAUUGCAAAGAGCAGACGAAGUAUCAAUUGUACGAAAACGACCAAGAGCUCAUCCAGCCGGAACGAAAAAUAAGCAAACCAUCAUCAAUGAAGCGAUCAAAGCAAUGACUCCGAAAUGGUCAUUUGAAGGACCGCGUGGACCAAUGAAUUCCAACACGUUAGAAAUUAGUAAUGAAAGAUUUUAUUGUGAUAUGUGCCCUGACUUAUCAUUCAAACACAAAUCGAGUAUGUUGAAACACAUGACUCGCCGUCAUAUACGUAAAGAUAUUGCAGAAAAGUUGAAGCAAUGUGAAAUCUGUCACAAAUUUCCACGAAUCAGCUAUGAGCAUCACAUGAAAAUGAAGCACUCGGAACUUCGAUUCAAAUGCGACUUUUGCGAUGCAGUUUUUAGACACAACACAUCUCGAGUCAUUCAUAUGCGAAAACAUACCGGCGAAAAGCCGUUUAUCUGCUCCAUCUGCGGCAAAGCAUUCGCUUCAAAUUCGAGACGUUUCUUCCAUGAAAAAUCCAUGCAUAGGACGACGAAUAAGGAAACCAACAUCAAUGAUGCGAUCAAAGCAAUAACUCCAAAAAGGCCAGUUGGACGUCCACGUGGACCCAACAAGUUAGAAAAUAGUAGCGAGCGGUUUUAUUGUGAUAUGUGCCCUGACUUAUCAUUCAAACAAAAACAGAGUUUAUUGAGACACAUGACUCGCCGUCAUAUCCGCAAAGAUAUUGCGGAAAAGAUGAAGAAAUGUGAAAUCUGCAACAAAUAUCCGCGAAUUAGCUAUGAGCAUCACAAGAAAAUGAAGCACUCGGAACUUCGAUUCAAAUGCGAUAUUUGCAAUGCUGAGUUCAAGCACAAAAUGACACAAAAAAUUCAUAUGCGAAAACAUUCUGGAGAGAAGCCGUUUAUGUGCAGUCACUGCGGGAAAGGUUUCUCUUCAAAGUCAAGUUGUUACUCGCACGAAACCGCCGUACACAGUAUAGUGAAAAAACACAAAUGCACCUACUGUGAUCGAUCCUUUCCAUAUCCGAAUGUUCUUCAAAAUCAUAUAAAUGCAGCCCAUACAAAGGAACGACCGUAUGUGUGUGACAUUUGUAACAAGGAUUUUGUUUCAAGCGGUGCAUUAGGCAUCCAUAAAGCAUCGCAUGAAGAACCAAAAAAGAAGUGUCGAUAUUGUGACAAGAUGUUCACUGUGAACGCAAGUCGAUGGCGACACGAAAUGGUCUAUCAUAAGAAAGUCGUUAUGGUCGAUGGUAAAAUAAUGAAUAUGUACAAAAAAAGCCAUCGAAUGAAGAUGGAAAUGCUGACGAAGAAAGAUUAGUGAUAAUUUAAUUUAAUUAAUUUUAGGCAUUGAAGUGAUUUUCCUAGAGUUAAUGAAUUAAUGGAGUUCGGAAAAAUUUGGAUCAAGUAUUCAAUUUAAUCAUUCAUUUGGAAAAAAAUUUAGAAAAUACUUUGAAAAGGAAAUGUGAAAAAAUGCGCAUUUUUUUACAAAUAAAUAAUGAAUUUAAAUAAAUUCCAUUGCAUUUAGUUUUGUCCAUAAAUCCCUAGUAUCAAUUUGUUUAUAUUCAUCUUCCCCUGUUUUGACAGCUGAACAGUUGUAUUCAUAUUCCCUUUGUCUCUUGGAAUAUCACUUUGUUCGAUUUCGAAUGCGUCGCUCCUUUCGUAAUUCCAGUUUCCACCGAAACAUUCAAUGGUUUUGACAUUUGAUUGUCGCUACUAGUAGAAUAUCAACCGAUUGACACGAGAUAAUACACAUCGCACAGGAAAAUAAUUACAAAAACUUAAAAAAAACUAAUAAAGAAUAUAAAAAGAGUAAAAAAAGUGUGCAAAAUACAUGAAUUCUAUCCAACACAUGUGUUUAACAACCAAAUGAAUUUUGUGAGCGUGUAGUUAUUGUUGCUGAACACAUUUUUCUACUGCUGCUAUACAUUUGAGUCGGAGUCGUACACGAUAGAGGAGCUGCCAGAAACCAAUCCGUACUUUGUAGCAUAGAAGGCUGAAUAAAUUGAAAAUUGAUUUUCAUAACAGGUUGUCAAAAUGAGCGUAGAAAGUGCAUCAGCUGACGUCAUCCCAAAUGAUCAACCACAAGCGGAGAUUUUCAAGUUGAAAAUCGAUCAUUUUGAAGAGCUAUUCGACUGGUUGUAUCUUAAAGAUCUAGUGGCACUGAGUAAAACGUGCAAACGAAUGCAACGCAUCGUCGGCUACUACAUUAAAACGACCUAUGCUGCAAUUAAAUUCAACUGUACAAGUGAUGGUAUCGAAAGAGGAUAUCAAGGAUUCAAAUUGACUGGAUUGAGUUCAUUUCUGAAAAAACUUACGUUUCAUAACCUCGAGUAUGUUCCAAUCAUGGAAGCCGAUCAAUUCAAAUCGCUCACCGAAAUCCUGUUACCCACCGAUGUACUCACUGAUGCAGGAAUAUCACGUAUAAAAGGGAUUUUGGGUCAACUGGAAACGGUGAAAUUGUGCUUUCCGCUUUCUCUGGAUGACAACAAAGAUAUUUAUGGUGAUUUUCUGAAAUACUGCACCAACGUAAAGGAGUUGUGCAUUCAGGGAUCGAGUAAUAGUUGCCUUGUUGGCGCUGACAAUAGUUGGCUUCUGCGAGAAUAUCCAACACUCGAACACUUUGAGUUGACAAUGGAUAAAGACGAAACUGGGCCCAUCGACGAAUUGAGUACAUUCUUUGAACGAAACACCCACAUCAAACGUUUUGCGACGAAUGUAGAAAUGAUUUUGGCGAACAGCGACACAUUUAAAACAAUUCCAGCUAAAUGGGAUGUUUUAAUCGUUCGAUUCUGUAAUACAAACACAUUUAAUCCAUCCCGAGAUCUUUUGAAUGAACUCUACGAACGAGGCAGGUUCAACGAAGUACAUGUGUAUUUUCGUACGCUCUUCCCUUAUACAUAUUUUGAUCAAGCAUCAGUGAAUGAGUUGACUUCAUUCAAAGGUCUUACAAAGUUAUACGUUCAAGGCAUUGAAAACGAUACCGAUUUAUCUCGAUUGAUUACCCUGAAGCAGUUUUACAUUCACAGAGCUUAUAAAAUUGCGAAUACGAAAACGCUGGCCACGAAGCUUUUCAAUCUUGAAUUCAUUCAUUUUUGCUAUGCGUCAGAUGUCAGGGACAUUGUGCCAUUCAUUUGCCACUCGCCCAAAUUGACAAAGAUUGUUGUGUUUCGCCUUGAGGAAGACCCGGAUGAACUUAUUCUCAACCUUGUACAACUGAACAAGGAACGAUCGAAAUUGCCAAACGCAAGAAAAGUUACCAUUUAUGUUGAGGAACAUGUUUAUUUGGCCGUGAAAUGGACCAUAAAUCAAACGAGCUUGAUUGAGAUAAAACGCGGCUCAUCAUAUGAUACAUUGAACCAUAGUUUCGAUUACAUGGACAAUCCCGACAAUACAUUUUGAAGGACAACUACUUUGAUAUCAUUUCAGAUGGAGUUACUAUGAGUUGUUUAUCAAUAUAAAAUAAACAUUCAGUUCCUUGCAAAGAGCACGCGAAGCACCAAAACUCUGCAUAAGCGACCGCGGGGAAGAUUAAGUAUUCCAUUUAAGAAGCAAAAUAUUUUAAACAGAAAAAACCAAUAAAAAUGUGCACUUCUAUCUAGAAUAUAAUGAAUUUGAAUAAAUUCCAAUGUAUUUGCCCAUAAAUCACUAA